UUAAAUUGAAGAGUUUGAUCAUGGCUCAGAUUGAACGCUGGCGGCAGGCCUAACACAUGCAAGUCGAACGGUAACAGGAAGACGCUUGCUUCUUUGCUGACGCGUGGCGGACGGGUGAGUAAUGUCUGGGAAACUGCCUGAUGGAGGGGGAUAACUCCUGGAAACGGUAGCUAAUACCGCAUAACGUCGCAAGACCAAAGAGGGGGACCUUCGGGCCUCUUGCCAUCGGAUGUGCCCAGAUGGG
This 244-nucleotide ribosomal RNA is filed under the name Escherichia coli. RNAcentral describes it as "partial 16S ribosomal RNA". It matches the Rfam family "Bacterial small subunit ribosomal RNA", at positions 1 to 239 of the family's 1533-position model. The record is from RNAcentral. Lineage: Bacteria; Pseudomonadati; Pseudomonadota; Gammaproteobacteria; Enterobacterales; Enterobacteriaceae.